UUCCACCUCCCGAGUUCAAGCGAUUCUCCUGCCUCAGCCUCCCUAGUAGCUGGGAUUACAGGCAUGUGCCAUCAUGCCCAGCUAAUUUUGUAUUUUUGGUAGAGAUGGUGUUUCUCCAUGUUGGUCAGGCUGGUAUCGAACUCCCAAUCUCAGGUGAUCUGCCUGCCUCGGCCUCCCAAAGUGCUGGGAUUACAGGCAUGAGCCACCU
This 208-nucleotide long non-coding RNA is filed under the name Homo sapiens (human). RNAcentral describes it as "non-protein coding lnc-PAK1IP1-3:1". Lineage: Eukaryota; Metazoa; Chordata; Mammalia; Primates; Hominidae. The record is from RNAcentral.